AGCUUCUUGAAUCCGUGCACAGAUUUCGUCAGACACCAAUCAAUUUGGGCUGACCAGACUUCCAAGAUAAGUGAAGUU
This 78-nucleotide microRNA precursor is filed under the name Schistosoma margrebowiei. RNAcentral describes it as "mir-3492 microRNA precursor family". It matches the Rfam family "mir-3492 microRNA precursor family". Lineage: Eukaryota; Metazoa; Platyhelminthes; Trematoda; Strigeidida; Schistosomatidae. The record is from Rfam by way of RNAcentral.